AUUGAACGCUGGCGGCAGGCCUAACACAUGCAAGUCGAACGGUAACAGGAAGCAGCUUGCUGCUUCGCUGACGAGUGGCGGACGGGUGAGUAAUGUCUGGGAAGCUGCCUGAUGGAGGGGGAUAACUACUGGAAACGGUAGCUAAUACCGCAUAAUGUCGCAAGACCAAAGAGGGGGACCUUCGGGCCUCUUGCCAUCGGAUGUGCCCAGAUGGGAUUAGCUUGUUGGUGGGGUAACGGCUCACCAAGGCGACGAUCCCUAGCUGGUCUGAGAGGAUGACCAGCCACACUGGAACUGAGACACGGUCCAGACUCCUACGGGAGGCAGCAGUGGGGAAUAUUGCACAAUGGGCGCAAGCCUGAUGCAGCCAUGCCGCGUGUAUGAAGAAGGCCUUCAGGUUGUAAAGUACUUUCAGCGGGGAGGAAGGGAGUAAAGUUAAUACCUUUGCUCAUUGACGUUACCCGCAGAAGAAGCACCGGCUAACUCCGUG
This 490-nucleotide ribosomal RNA is filed under the name uncultured bacterium. Its description in RNAcentral is "partial 16S ribosomal RNA". It matches the Rfam family "Bacterial small subunit ribosomal RNA", at positions 30 to 507 of the family's 1533-position model. The record is from RNAcentral.